Molecule: long non-coding RNA, 406 nt
Filed under: Nicotiana benthamiana
Lineage: Eukaryota; Viridiplantae; Streptophyta; Magnoliopsida; Solanales; Solanaceae
Description: long non-coding RNA (NBEN_LNC024430)
Source: RNAcentral
UAGAAUUCCAGAAAAAUACAAAAGGCCAAAAGUUCUACUGCUCGAUUGAGUUUCAGUGAUCUUUCUUCUGAAAACAACAGUCCUUAUUUUGAUAUUUAAAUGGAUUGAUGUUUGGUUAUUAAGUUUUUUUAUUCAACUUGGUUGAGGGUUAAUCUUUCACUGGUUUUACUGAGUUGAUUUCCUGGGUUUUUAAUCAUUGGAACUGGUGUUGCUGGUUUGCUGGCUACUGUCCUAUUACUAGUUCCUCACUUUUUGUGUUGCUUUCGAUUUCCAGGUACAUGCCUUGAAACCUGCAUGAUGUGAUCUUCAAGUUGAGUUGAAAUGAAAAAUGGAAGUUAGAAGUUUGAUACUCCUGUCGUGUAUGCUGUAUAUAAGCUUGAUAUUCAAAUCUUCUUCUCUAUCCUAG